GACGAACGCUGGCGGCGUGCUUAACACAUGCAAGUCGAACGGAAAGGCCCUGCUUUUGUGGGGUGCUCGAGUGGCGAACGGGUGAGUAACACGUGAGUAACCUGCCCUUGACUUUGGGAUAACUUCAGGAAACUGGGGCUAAUACCGGAUAGGAGCUCCUGCUGCAUGGAGGGGGUUGGAAAGUUUCGGCGGUUGGGGAUGGACUCGCGGCUUAUCAGCUUGUUGGUGGGGUAGUGGCUUACCAAGGCUUUGACGGGUCGCCGGCCUGAGAGGGUGACCGGCCACAUUGGGACUGAGGUACGGCCCAGACUCCUACGGGAGGCAGCAGUGGGGAAUAUUGCACAAUGGGCGGAAGCCUGAUGCAGCAACGCCGCGUGCGGGAUGACGGCCUUCGGGUUGUAAACCGCUUUCGCCUGUGACGAAGCGUGAGUGACGGUAAUGGGUAAAGAAGCACCGGCUAACUACGUG
RNAcentral lists this ribosomal RNA (468 nucleotides) under uncultured bacterium. Its description in RNAcentral is "partial 16S ribosomal RNA". It matches the Rfam family "Bacterial small subunit ribosomal RNA", at positions 28 to 507 of the family's 1533-position model. The record is from RNAcentral.